Molecule: ribosomal RNA, 301 nt
Filed under: uncultured bacterium
Lineage: Bacteria
Description: partial 16S ribosomal RNA
Rfam family: Bacterial small subunit ribosomal RNA
Source: RNAcentral
CAGUAGCCGCGGGAAUACGUAGGGCGCAAGCGUUAUCCGGAAUUAUUGGGCGUAAAGAGCUCGUAGGCGGUUUGUCGCGUUUGCCGUGAAAGUCCGGGGCUCAACCCCGGAUCUGCGGUGGGUACGGGCAGACUAGAGUGAUGUAGGGGAGACUGGAAUUCCUGGUGUAGCGGUGAAAUGCGCAGAUAUCAGGAGGAACACCGAUGGCGAAGGCAGGUCUCUGGGCAUUAACUGACGCUCAGGUGCGAAAGCGUGGGGAGCAAACAGGAUUAGAGACCUCAGUAGUCCCUGUCUCUUAUAC